This 792-nucleotide ribosomal RNA is filed under the name Amphidromus semitessellatus. RNAcentral's name for it is "partial 16S ribosomal RNA". The stretch from base 372 to 525 matches the Rfam family "Archaeal large subunit ribosomal RNA", at positions 1885 to 2088 of the family's 2987-position model. Lineage: Eukaryota; Metazoa; Mollusca; Gastropoda; Stylommatophora; Camaenidae. The record is from RNAcentral.
AUUAACGAUAAGUAGUAUAAUUAACCUUACACGAAACAAUUUGAGCUAACUACUUAUAAAUUUUAGUGAAGUGUACAGUAUGUCGCAAAAUACUGUUUAAUAGGUAGUUAGGGGUGAUAGGCCAAGCAAAAGUUGUGAUAUCUUGAUCCUAGGGAAAUGCAUUUAGUGAUUAAACGGAUAAGGAGUGACAAGGCUCUUUAUUAAAAUUAAAUAUCAUGCACAUAAUCUAUGGCCCUAACAGGCGAUACUGUUGAAGAUUAAUAUUAAAAAUUGAACAUUUGUUUUUACUACCUUUGGGGGUUAAAUUACAGAAAUCAUAAUGUUAAUAUAAGUAACCUAUUAGGUCAACAAAAUGAACUCGGCAACUAUACCUCUCGACUGUUUACCAAAAACAUAGCUGUGUGAUAUAACACACAGUUUUUUCUGCUCAAUGAGUUUUAAAUAGCCGCAGUACCCUGACUGUGCAAAGGUAGCAUAAUCAUUUGGCUUAUAAUUGAAGUCUGGUAUGAAUGAAUAAACGGGGGGUGACUGUAUCUUGUUGUGAUUUUGAAAUUAGUUAGUAAGUGAAAAUACUUACACUUAACUAAUAGACGAGAAGACCCUAGAAAUUAAAAAUGACGUUUGUUGGGGCGACAUAAUAGCAAUUUAACCUAUUAUUAUUUAUACUAGUGUUUAAUUAAAGGUAAGGAUAAUUACUCUAGGGAUAACAGCAUAAUUUAUCAAAGAUUGUGACCUCGAUGUUGGACUAGGAAUUUUAAGCCCAGAAGGCAAAAAAGAUUGCUCUGUUCGAGC